This 125-nucleotide small RNA is filed under the name Marmota monax (woodchuck). Lineage: Eukaryota; Metazoa; Chordata; Mammalia; Rodentia; Sciuridae. The record is from RNAcentral.
GCUGGGCGCAGUGGUGCACACCUGUAAUCCCAGUGGCUGGGGAGGCUGAGACGGGAGGAUAACAAGUUCAAAGCCAGCCUCCACAAAAGUGAGACGAUAAGAGACUCAGUGAGACCCUGUCUCUA